CCUACGGGGGGCAGCAGUGAGGAAUAUUGGUCAAUGGGCGCGAGCCUGAACCAGCCAAGUCGCGUGAGGGAAGACGGUCCUAUGGAUUGUAAACCUCUUUUGUCGGGGAGCAAAAGACGCCACGCGUGGCGUUCCGAGAGUACCCGAAGAAAAAGCAUCGGCUAACUCCGUGCCAGCAGCCGCGGUAAUACGGAGGAUGCGAGCGUUAUCCGGAUUUAUUGGGUGUAAAGGGCGUGUAGGCGGGAGCGCAAGUCAGAUGUGAAAACUCAGGGCUCAACCCUGAGCCUGCAUUUGAAACUGGGUGUCUUGAGUGAGUGAGAGGUAGGCGGAAUGCGUGGUGUAGCGGUGAAAUGCAUAGAUAUCACGCAGAACACCGAUUGCGAAGGCAGCAUACCGGCGCUCAACUGACGCUCAUGCACGAAAGUGUGGGUAUCGAACAGGAUUAGAUACCCGAGUAGUC
This 460-nucleotide ribosomal RNA is filed under the name uncultured bacterium. RNAcentral describes it as "partial 16S ribosomal RNA". It matches the Rfam family "Bacterial small subunit ribosomal RNA", at positions 338 to 795 of the family's 1533-position model. The record is from RNAcentral.